AGAGUUUGAUCCUGGCUCAGGAUGAACGCUAGCGGCAGGCUUAACACAUGCAAGUCGAGGGGCAGCAUAAUGGAUAGCAAUAUCUAUGGUGGCGACCGGCGCACGGGUGCGUAACGCGUAUGCAACCUACCUUUAACAGGGGGAUAACACUGAGAAAUUGGUACUAAUACCCCAUAAUAUCAUAGAAGGCAUCUUUUAUGGUUGAAAAUUUCCGAUGGUUAGAGAUGGGCAUGCGUUGUAUUAGCUAGUUGGUGGGGUAACGGCUCACCAAGGCGACGAUACAGUAGGGGGACUGAGAGGUUAACCCCCCANACUGGUACUGAGACACGGACCAGACUCCGUACGGGAGGCA
This 352-nucleotide ribosomal RNA is filed under the name uncultured bacterium. RNAcentral's name for it is "bacterial SSU rRNA". It matches the Rfam family "Bacterial small subunit ribosomal RNA", at positions 8 to 350 of the family's 1533-position model. The record is from RNAcentral.